Molecule: small nuclear RNA, 117 nt
Filed under: Trialeurodes vaporariorum (greenhouse whitefly)
Lineage: Eukaryota; Metazoa; Arthropoda; Insecta; Hemiptera; Aleyrodidae
Description: U5 spliceosomal RNA
Rfam family: U5 spliceosomal RNA
About the family: U5 RNA is a component of both types of known spliceosome. The precise function of this molecule is unknown, though it is known that the 5' loop is required for splice site selection and p220 binding, and that both the 3' stem-loop and the Sm site are important for Sm protein binding and cap methylation.
Source: RNAcentral
AUCUCAGGACUCUCUUCAUCACGCAUACAUCUUUCGCCUUUUACUAAAGAUUUCCGUGGAGAGGGUCAAUUAAUGAGUCUAAAUUAAUUUUUGAAAUGCCUGACGAAAGUUGGGCAC